RNA transcript from Vigna angularis (adzuki bean), 1550 nucleotides. RefSeq lists it as uncharacterized. The record is from RefSeq and is a predicted model, not a curated record. The transcript has 10 exons. NCBI's taxonomy places the organism in Eukaryota, Viridiplantae, Streptophyta, Magnoliopsida, Fabales, Fabaceae.
GUUCAGACAGCUCUGGUUUUUGUGUUGCUCAAUGGAAGAAGCACCUGAAGAACCAUCACAAUCGCGAGACUCUUGGCGAGAUCACCAAACUUGGAUAACCACACAAGACAUUCUCAGGGAAAAGCUGAUCACAGAGGACAGUUUCUCAUGGAAAUUAUCCAGCGAAGGUGAACCUGGUUAUAAGAAGGGAGAAGAAUUGAGAUGCGUUGGUGGGGUUGACAUUAGCUUUUCAAAGGAUGAUCCAUCAAAGGCAUGUGGCACCCUUGUGGUGUUGGACUUCCACACUCUCCAAGUUCUCUAUCAGGACUUCUCUUUUGUCACUCUCCAAGUUCCUUAUGUGCCUGGUUUCCUUGCAUUUAGAGAGGCCCCAGUUCUUCAACAGCUUCUAGAGAAAAUGAAAAGGAGUGAUAAUCCUUUCUACCCUCAGCUGUUAUUGGUUGAUGGAAAUGGAAUACUUCAUCCCAGAGGUUUUGGGCUGGCCUGUCAUAUUGGAGUUGAGGCCAAUCUACCAACAAUUGGGAUUGGAAAGAAUUUGCAUCAUGUGGAUGGUCUUACUCAUUCAACAGUGACAAAACUUCUUGGUGCUGAAGAAAACUCUUCGAAAGAAUUUAUUAAUUUGGUGGGUUGUUCUGGGCGAAUAUGGGGAGUGGCCAUGAGAUCUACACAGGGAUCCAUAAAGCCAAUAUUUAUAUCAAUUGGUCAUAUGAUAUCACUUCAGACUGCCAUUAUGAUUGUUCAGAAGACCUGCAAGUUUCGUGUGCCUGAGCCAAUUAGACAGGCUGACAUAAGAUCUAGGGACCAUAUUCGGAAUCUUGAAAUGAAUGGCAAAGUAACAUAAUUCGCUCAUACGGUACAUCAUCGUCGACAUUAAAUUUUCUUUCCUCGUUGGUCUUGAACACCUAAAGUGAUGGCAACACUUACUGGUUACUACUUACUACAUGCUAUCAUGAAUUCUGUUAGACACUUGUACGAUGUAGGUGGUCAUAGCAAUGUUAAUUUUCGAGUUCAGAGAUGUAAAUGGAUGGAACCAGAAGUUAUGGUUAUGCUUUCAAACCAUAUAUGUACAGCCUUGAAAUCGAAUACAUAAAAGUAUCAUCAAAUACAAUCUUGAUCUUCAACUUUUUAAUGUACAGUACAGCCUCUCUUCUUUUCUGGUGCCUCUUGCACUCACCUAAUUCUCAGCAUGGAUCUUAAUGUAUUAAAUAAUGAAAUAGCUAUAUGAGAUGUCAAUAACUGUUAGGUUGCAAGGGACACAAACGAAGUGGAUUGAAUCAUCAUAAUCCAUAAAGUGAAUUAUGCAGAGCAGCAGAAGUAUUUCUCAAUCCUCUUCCACAACUUCCCAGAGAGCGAAUUCCUCCAGAUAAUACUCCAUUUUUACUGCUCAAAAGUCAUGGUUUUCCCAAUCAUAGAAAGAGUAGUUUGGGAAAGAUUUGUUUCAAAAUCCAAUUGUUGGAACUGUGGUGGAAAAAAUAAAACAGGGAACAAGGGAAAAUAGGAUUUGUGGGACUAUUUUGUGCUGAAAGCAAGAAAUGUAACAUUUUAUUGAUCAA